Long non-coding RNA from Oncorhynchus tshawytscha (Chinook salmon), 1525 nucleotides. RefSeq lists it as uncharacterized. The record is from RefSeq and is a predicted model, not a curated record. Lineage: Eukaryota; Metazoa; Chordata; Actinopteri; Salmoniformes; Salmonidae. The transcript has 2 exons.
UUAACGGUAGCUAUAGCUAGUAGCUAGUAGUAACUGAUUAUUUAACGGUAGCUAGUAGUAACUGAUUAUUUAACGGUAGCUAGUAGCUAGUAGUAACUGAUUAUUUAACGGUAUCUAGUAGCUAGUAGUAACUGAUUAUUUAACGGUAGCUAGUAGUAACUGAUUAUUUCACAGUAGCUAGUAGUAACUGAUUAUUUAACGGUAGCUAGUAGUAACUGAUUAUUUCACGGUAGCCAGUAGUAACUGAUUAUUUCACGGUAGCUAGUAGCUAGUAGUAACUGAUUAUUUAACGGUAGCUAGUAGUAACUGAUUAUUUAACGGUAGCUAGUAGUAACUGAUUAUUUAAAGGUAGCUAGUAGUAACUUAUUAUUUAACGGUAGCUAGUAGUAACUGAUUAUUUAACGGUAGCUAGUAGAAAUGAGAUGCUAUGAGCUUGUGGCCUUGUUGAACUUUAAACUCCUCCUUACUCCUGUUUAGGGUUUGUGCUUCUGGCCAGAUGAACUUCCUUCCCAAGCUAGACUACUUACAGCCUGGUUUGAUCUGUUUUGUGCAGUCUUGCCAAAUGUGUGUAUAUAUAUAUAUAUAUAUAUAUAUAUAUAUAUUAUAUACAUGCGUUCUAUGCAAUGACCAUAGGAGUUGGCAUAGGAGUUGGCAGGACAGCACAAACAGAUCUGGGACCAGGCUAGACAAUGUAGUCCGCUCCCAACAAAUAAGUGUCUUAACAUCCAACGAAUCAUUCUGAGGUAGAUCCUCAGUAAGCAUCAGAAGAAUUCACAUACCAAGGGGGCUUGUUGUGCCAAUUGUUUUUAGGCUGUAGAUCCUUGGGGAACCACCUCGUCUCCCUGGAUAGAUCCACAUCAUGUCCAAGCGAUGUGUCUCUACUUUAGGCACAAGUGGUCACCCUCUCUUGACUUUUCUCACUGUCAUUCAUGAAGGAUAAUUCUUCCAAGUUUUACCAGUGAGACGUCUUGUCUAUGCAACAUCAGUCUCAUGGGAUGUAUACCUUUUCUAUAGAUCAUAGUUAUGUACUGUUUUUGAAUGGCGCACAGUGAGUGACUUGUAGGGCAGAAGGUGUUCAUAAAUUGUAGCAAAUCUGUUUUUUUUUGUUUGUUUCAAAGCACUUUUUUUUUGUUUAUUAGCCCACUUGAGUUAUGGCCGCAUGAGAGAGAAAUGCAACCAUUUAAACAAUUAUCCUGAAAUCAGGUGUUUGUUUUUUCCUUAACAAAACAUACAGUAACAUACUAUUAUAUUGGUUUCUGUUCUGUAUAAUUAUCAUGUGAUCUUCCAAACUUUGAUUCAGCUUUGAUCUAACUUUUAUGAAACGAUAACCAUUCAGAGUUGCCUGCGGAGACUGUGGAAGUAGAGAAUCCCCGCGUAACCCUGGGAAGAAAAGUCUGAUCCACAGCCACUCUGUUUUUAAAGAGUCCUCAUAUCAUGGCCAAAUUUAACAAGAUAUCUAGAAUGACAUGGACAUGUUUUUAAACAGUUUGAUGAACGCUAGUCUGUUGAGUCAUAUUUUGAAACA